This 576-nucleotide small RNA is filed under the name Pongo abelii (Sumatran orangutan). RNAcentral's name for it is "retained intron". The record is from RNAcentral. Lineage: Eukaryota; Metazoa; Chordata; Mammalia; Primates; Hominidae.
ACUGCGGACGGCUUCCGGGUUUGGGCCUGGCUCUGUGACUGAGGCGGCGGCGGUGGCGGCCGAGCGGGAUACGGGCGGCGGGAGCUGGGGAACAGGCAUGGACGUUUCGGGGCAAGAGACAGACUGGCGGAGCACCGCCUUCCGGCAGAAGCUGGUCAGUCAAAUCGAGGAUGCCAUGAGGAAAGCUGGUGUGGCACACAGUAAAUCCAGCAAGGAUAUGGAGAGCCAUGUUUUCCUGAAGGCCAAGACCCGGGUAAGGCCCUAGACGAAUACCUUUCUCUCGUGGCCAGGCUCAUUAUCCAUUUUCGAGACAUUCGUAAGUAAGAUUUCGCAUUUCUGGGUUGUUGAGAUCUCUGUGAGAGGCCAGCCCUGACGCUGCCUCGGCAGAGCUUUCUGGGCAGGCCGCGGUGCCUGAGUCAGAAGGUCUGUGUCACCUCACUUGCUUCUGGGAAGUUCUUCACUGCCUUGCAUUUGAUUCCAGAUCCCCCAUCCUCCCAGAGCCUUGGCCUCAAAAAUGCUGAUUCUAGCAUCAUGGAAAUGCUGUCCUCAAAGUGGUCUAAACGGGUUGCUGUUUCA